RNAcentral lists this ribosomal RNA (497 nucleotides) under uncultured bacterium. RNAcentral's name for it is "partial 16S ribosomal RNA". It matches the Rfam family "Bacterial small subunit ribosomal RNA", at positions 28 to 507 of the family's 1533-position model. The record is from RNAcentral.
GAUGAACGCUGGCGGCGUGCCUAAUACAUGCAAGUCGAGCGAACGGACGAGAAGCUUGCUUCUCUGAUGUUAGCGGCGGACGGGUGAGUAACACGUGGAUAACCUACCUAUAAGACUGGGAUAACUUCGGGAAACCGGAGCUAAUACCGGAUGAUCUUUUGAACCGCAUGGUUCAAAAGUGAAAGACGGUCUUGCUGUCACUUAUAGAUGGAUCCGCGCUGCAUUAGCUAGUUGGUAAGGUAACGGCUUACCAAGGCAACGAUGCAUAGCCGACCUGAGAGGGGGAUAGGACACACGGGAACUGAUACACGGUCCAGACUCCUACGGGAGGCAGCAGUAGGGAAUCUUCCGCAAUGGGCGAAAGCCUGACGGAGCAACGCCGCGUGAGUGAUGAAGGUCUUCGGAUCGUAAAACUCUGUUAUUAGGGAAGAACAGAUGUGUAAGUAACUGUGCACAUCUUGACGGUACCUAAUCAGAAAGCCACGGCUAACUACGUG